Molecule: ribosomal RNA, 425 nt
Filed under: uncultured bacterium
Lineage: Bacteria
Description: partial 16S ribosomal RNA
Rfam family: Bacterial small subunit ribosomal RNA
Source: RNAcentral
GUGGGGAAUAUUGGACAAUGGGCGCAAGCCUGAUCCAGCCAUGCCGCGUGAGUGAUGAAGGCCUUAGGGUUGUAAAGCUCUUUUGUCCGGGAAGAUAAUGACUGUACCGGAAGAAUAAGCCCCGGCUAACUUCGUGCCAGCAGCCGCGGUAAUACGAAGGGGGCUAGCGUUGUUCGGAAUCACUGGGCGUAAAGCGCACGUAGGCGGACCAUUAAGUCAGGGGUGAAAGCCUGGAGCUCAACUCCAGAACUGCCUUUGAUACUGAUGGUCUCGAGUAUGGAAGAGGUUGGUGGAACUGCGAGUGUAGAGGUGAAAUUCGUAGAUAUUCGCAAGAACACCGGUUGCGAAGGCGGCCAACUGGUCCAUUACUGACGCUGAGGUGCGAAAGCGUGGGGAGCAAACAGGAUUAGAAACCCCGGUAGUCC